This 643-nucleotide ribosomal RNA is filed under the name Alternaria solani. RNAcentral's name for it is "eukaryotic LSU rRNA". The stretch from base 170 to 323 matches the Rfam family "5.8S ribosomal RNA". Lineage: Eukaryota; Fungi; Ascomycota; Dothideomycetes; Pleosporales; Pleosporaceae. The record is from RNAcentral.
GCCGGUCUGAGGCGGGCUGGCACCUCCCGGGGUGGCCAGCCUUGCUGAAUUAUUCCACCCGUGUCUUUUGCGUACUUCUUGUUUCCUUGGUGGGCUCGCCCACCACAAGGACCAACCCAUAAACCUUUUUGCAAUGGCAAUCAGCGUCAGUAACAAUGUAAUAAUUUACAACUUUCAACAACGGAUCUCUUGGUUCUGGCAUCGAUGAAGAACGCAGCGAAAUGCGAUAAGUAGUGUGAAUUGCAGAAUUCAGUGAAUCAUCGAAUCUUUGAACGCACAUUGCGCCCUUUGGUAUUCCAAAGGGCAUGCCUGUUCGAGCGUCAUUUGUACCCUCAAGCUUUGCUUGGUGUUGGGCGUCUUUUUGUCUCCCCUUGCGGGAGACUCGCCUUAAAGUCAUUGGCAGCCGGCCUACUGGUUUCGGAGCGCAGCACAAGUCGCGCUCUCUUCCAGCCCCAAGGUCUAGCAUCCACCAAGCCUUUUUUUUCAACUUUUGACCUCGGAUCAGGUAGGGAUACCCGCUGAACUUAAGCAUAUCAAAAGCCGGAGGGAAAAAAUACGAAAACCCUCUGAACUUACGCCUAUCACUGAAACGGCAGGGAACGCAGAAUUAUUACACCCUGUUUUUACGCAAUAAUAAAAGAAG